AAAAAAAAAAAAAAAUGGAAAUCUGGUGAACUCUAAAAAUUGAAUAAAUAAUACUGGAUCUUCACCUACGUUCUUCAACAAGUAAAGCUUGGGAGGUCUCACGCCCACCUCUUUGUUUUUCCUGCAAUCCAAUUCUGAAUCUUGUUAGCCAAGACACUAGUAAUGUACCAUACACAUUCACUGCUACUACCCCCAAGGAACCCACCGGCCCAACCAACCUCUGGAUCAUCAUUGCUAAAUAUGGCUAAAACUAUGGGAGUUUUCUGCAUAUGCAGUUCCCAUGCAAGAAGUGGCUUGCCUCAGUAGUAUGCACAGUGCCUCAAAUUUGUUACAGUUUCUUAGGCAAAUUAUAAGUUUUCUUGAGGAACUUUGUUGCUACUUCAUCAUUCCGGUAACACAACACACGA
RNAcentral lists this unclassified non-coding RNA (407 nucleotides) under Hevea brasiliensis (rubber tree). The record is from RNAcentral. Lineage: Eukaryota; Viridiplantae; Streptophyta; Magnoliopsida; Malpighiales; Euphorbiaceae.